UGGAGAGUUUGAUCCUGGCUCAGAUUGAACGCUGGCGGCAGGCCUAACACAUGCAAGUCGAGCGGAUGAARGGAGCUUGCUCCUGRAUUCAGCGGCGGACGGGUGAGUAAUGCCUAGGAAUCUGCCUGGUAGUGGGGGACAACGUUUCGAAAGGAACGCUAAUACCGCAUACGUCCUACGGGAGAAAGCAGGGGACCUUCGGGCCUUGCGCUAUCAGAUGAGCCUAGGUCGGAUUAGCUAGUUGGUGAGGUAAUGGCUCACCAAGGCGACGAUCCGUAACUGGUCUGAGAGGAUGAUCAGUCACACUGGAACUGAGACACGGUCCAGACUCCUACGGGAGGCAGCAGUGGGGAAUAUUGGACAAUGGGCGAAAGCCUGAUCCAGCCAUGCCGCGUGUGUGAAGAAGGUCUUCGGAUUGUAAAGCACUUUAAGUUGGGAGGAAGGGCAGUAAAUUAAUACUUUGCUGUUUUGACGUUACCGACAGAAUAAGCACCGGCUAACUCUGUGCCAGCAGCCGCGGUA
RNAcentral lists this ribosomal RNA (522 nucleotides) under Pseudomonas sp. IRH18. RNAcentral's name for it is "bacterial SSU rRNA". It matches the Rfam family "Bacterial small subunit ribosomal RNA", at positions 1 to 522 of the family's 1533-position model. Lineage: Bacteria; Pseudomonadati; Pseudomonadota; Gammaproteobacteria; Pseudomonadales; Pseudomonadaceae. The record is from RNAcentral.